GGGAAAUGAGGAGUGGUAUAAGCUCGCAAUUAUUACUAUGCGAGAGGGGUGCCCGCCCCAAAUAAGCCUGUUACGACAACAGGGGCACCCCAAUGACUUUACCAUCUGAUCCC
Molecule: small nucleolar RNA, 113 nt
Filed under: Sorghum bicolor (sorghum)
Lineage: Eukaryota; Viridiplantae; Streptophyta; Magnoliopsida; Poales; Poaceae
Description: snoRNA snoZ279_R105_R108
Rfam family: Small nucleolar RNA Z279/snoR105/snoR108
About the family: This family includes the plant snoRNAs known as Z279, snoR105 and snoR108.
Source: Rfam by way of RNAcentral